Pseudovirgaria hyperparasitica is the source of this 83-nucleotide non-coding RNA. The record is from the annotation of a RefSeq genome assembly. Lineage: Eukaryota; Fungi; Ascomycota; Dothideomycetes; Acrospermales; Acrospermaceae.
GCCGCUUUAGCGCAGUGGCUAACGCGUCACACUCGUAUCCCUACGCCAUGUGAAGACCCUCGGUUCGAUUCCGAGAAGCGGCA